Molecule: long non-coding RNA, 9697 nt
Filed under: Musa acuminata (dwarf banana)
Lineage: Eukaryota; Viridiplantae; Streptophyta; Magnoliopsida; Zingiberales; Musaceae
Description: long non-coding RNA (MACU_LNC002928)
Source: RNAcentral
CUGAGCCUGAAGCCAGUCGAUGGUCUUCUUGUCCACUUGGAAAGCCUUGGCGAGGAUUUCAUCCGAGAUGGGGGGAUUCGACCCGAACACAGCAUCGGCGAUGGUGAUGGUGCCAGGGUUUUGGCUGCUGAGAGCACCGAUGGCGAAGGUGUUGGUGUGCCCAGGGUUGAACUGGAAGUGGAUGAGGCCUUGGGGGAACACAAACACAUCACCCUUCUUCAGCAUCUUGGUGAAGAGACGGUUGCCGUCGUCGCUGUUGGAUGUGACGAAGCCGACCAAGAGCUGUCCCUCUAUGACGGUGAGGAUCUCGGUGGCACGGGGGUGAGUGUGGGGCGGGUUGAGGCCAUUGGGGAUGUAGUCGAUGCGAACCAUGGAGAUGCCGAGGGUGUUGAGCCCUGGAAUCUGGAUCACGUUGGCAGGCGUGACAUUGAACCCGAAAUUGUUCUUUCCUGUAUCGCCGGGCAUGUCGAGGCCAGAAAGAGAGAAGUCGUCGGCUUUCACAACCAUGGGGUCCUUGCAGACGAAUCCAUUCACCCGCACUGCAACAGCAGAAGGAAGAAGCAAACUCGGUCGGUAAACAUGCAUCAGGAGAACAAACGCACCGAAGGAAAUUAAUCUGGAUACUAUGAAUACCUUUAGACAUCAUAUCUGCGACACAGAAGUCUUGAAGUUGGCUAGGAUCGGAAGCCAUUGCAAGAGAGGAAGCCAUGGCGAGGAGAACAAGGAGAAACAUUUCGGCGGCCAUCUGUAAUCUCUUAGAUGGAUGGGAUUACCUGGUGCCGUGAUACAGUGGCCUGGAAGAGACGGGUAUAUAUAGAGAAGCAGGCUCUGAAACAUUCAUGAUCAUUAGGUGAAGGAGAUGAAAAGUAUACCAUGUUAGGUUGCUUUCUUCUUGCAAUAUAUUUUCUAUAGCCGUCACCUCGUACGAGAUCCAUAUGAUGCACAGUAACCAUUAAAUUUGUUGACGUGUCUCAGUAACCUAAUCCAUGACCAUUUUAUAUGUAUAUAUAUAAUGAUGGAGCUUUUAGUUAGAUCAUGCUGUAGUGUAAAAUGGACUCUUACGUUCGACUGCAUAAUCCACCACGUGAGAUUUUUGUGACGACCUUACGCUACCAAACAAGAGGAGAAGUCAGCAAAGAUGUGGCAGCUGAACAGAACAAGCUAAGGACAGGUAGAAAGAACAAGAAGCCAAAGAUGUGAUUACCAAUUUGACCUUGUCGGGUCUUGUGUACUGCUACGGCUGAUACCGUGUAUUAUAAUUAAGGUGUUCUACGUCAUCUCCGACUAUUUUCAUCACACUGAGACGUCGCGUGCAUGUUGCAAAGAAGUAUGUAAAUACGUAAGUUCUUAAGAGAUUAUAAGUUGAUAUAAUGCUGUCCAAGAAUAGUAAGCAUGUUGAUAGUUGCCUCUACGUUAAACGCUUAUGGGAUCCUAAGUUAUUAAGAGAUCAUAAGAGAUUUUAAAAAUACUAAAUCUUCGUAUAUAGGUAUACAAGAAUAUUGUACGAUUUAGAUAAAAUCAAUUAUAUUCGUGAUAAAAAUCAAUGAGGUUAGGUGAGAUAAAAUAUUUUUUUUAAUUAAAUAUCUAAAGUAAAAUUAACAUAUCAACAUUACAUUGUUCACAUAAAAUUUAUAAUCAUAUUAUCUAUAAUACGAAAAAAAAAUUAUGUCAAAAUUUAAAAUCAAAUAAUAAUGGAUCUAAAUAAUAUUACGAUGCAUACCUUUCGUUGUUAUUUAGAAGAAUAAAUAUUAUCUGAUCUACAGGCGUAUCAUCGUCGGAUCUAAAUGAAAUACUUCUAUUUAGCCCUUAAGAUCAUAUCUAUUUAUAAACAAAAACAAAGAGUCUAAGAUAAGAUAUUAGAAGAAUUCCUCCCAUAAGGAUAUCCUUGGAAUCCUACUAUAAUAUGAAUUUUUUUUUUAUUAAUCAAUAAUCAUAAUCAGAAUUCAAUCAUAUCUAUAAUAUAUUUUACCUAAUUAAAUAUGACCACACAAUCUAACACUCAAUCAUAAAUCCACGAAUCAUAAAUCCAUAAAAAACCAGAAUUUUUGAACUCAUUUCAACCGAGUUCCCAAAAAGUUUAUUAAGUAAAUAAGAUAUUAUUAUGAAUACAAAACAUUUUAAAGUUUUAUAGAUGAUAAUUCUUUUCUAGAAGGUUCUGCCAGCGAGGAUGAAUAAAAAAAAAAGAAAAAUAUCGAUAUAAUAUUUGUAAUUUAUAUAAAUAUAAACAUUUUUCGUCCAUCCAACUCAGCGACCUCUCUGGCAAUCAGAAAGAUUUCAAUAACGAUCAAACAAAGGCUAAUCGAUUAUUUCAGUCAUCAGAUUUUGGUGGCAACGACAUGUUACCAAACACCAUAAAGAAGCUCUCAAAGUCCGACCACGAGACAAGACAAAGUUGCCAGUACGAAUCCGUCUCCGUUCUUCGACCUCGUUCCAUACUGUAUAUUACGAUCGAAGUGAACUGUGUCAUCUUCAACUAUUUCACCAUCACACUGUUUAUAUAUUAUUAUGGUCUAUUUGUGAUCACAACAUAAGAGUUCAAAUUCAUAAUUAUAUUUCAUUUUAGUAAAUGAAUAAAUUGGAGUGAUUGAUACCGCCGGUUAUAGGUGGAUGCAAUCGAGCCAUAUACUACUACUGAACUUUGUAGAUCCCAUGUCAUACAAGUCAAGACAAAAGCACUCCUUUCGGGAAUUCUUGGUGAUGACUUGUUGAAGUUAUGAUCGUGUAUACAAUAUCUCAUGUUUCAGUCAUAAUAUUUGCAUAAAUUGACUUAUUACCGGUAUAUUUUAGUAAAGUUGUCUGCAUAGAUAUAUAAAGUUCAUGAACCUGAGGGAGGAUAAACAUAAGGUGGAUAAAGAAGUAUGCAUAUAUAUAUAUAAUAUGAGAUAUUACACUUUUUGAGGAUGCUGCACUCCAUAUAAUCUAUAAUCUUCCAGGUGGGAAAUACUAUCAUAUGAUCUAAAUAUUGAAAUAUGACUCAUGGAUUUCUUUCUUAAAAAUCAAGUUUUAUUUAUUAUAUUUAAUGACGUGUUUAUAUGAAAUUUGCAACAGUACACCAAUCGUAUGUCAAUAGAGAUGACUCGAGAAUUCUGAAACAUGACACACUUCAUACGUACUUUUCAUAACAUAGAAAGGUCUCUUAAUUCCAUUACAAUAGCAAACGCAAACAGGUAGUCCACUGUUUGCUUAUUCACACCAAAACACACGAGCUAAGAGUGCAGCUUAAUUCAUUCCUCCGACUAGUUUUUCUUCGCGAACUGAGCCUGAAGCCAGUCGACAAGCUUCUUGUCCACUUGGAAAGCCUUGGCGAGGAUUUCAUCCGAGAUGGGGGGAUUCGCCCCGAACACAGCAUCGGCGAUUGUGAUGGUGCCGGGGUUUUGGCUACUGAGAGCACCGAUGGCGAAGGUGUUGGUGUACCCAGGGUUGAACUGGAAGUGGAUGAGGCCUUGAGGGAACACAAACACAUCACCCUUCUUCAGCAUCUUGGUGAAGAGGCGGUUGUCGGUGUUGGAUGUGACGAAGCCGACUAAGAGCUGUCCCUCUAUGACGGUGAGGAUCUCGGUGGCACGGGGGUGAGUGUGGGGCGGGUUGAGGCCUUUGGGGAUGUAGUCGAUGCGAACCAUGGAGAUGCCGAGGGUGUUGAGUCCUGGAAUCUGCAUCACGUUGGCAGGCGUGACAUUGAACCCGAACUUGUUUCCGGUAUCGCCAGGCAUGUCGAGGCCAGAAAGAGAGAAGUCGUCGGCUUUCACAACCAUGGGGUCCUUGCAGACGAACCCAUUCACCCGCACUGCAACAGCAGAAGGAAGAAGCAAACUCGGUCGGUAAACAUGCAUCAGGAGAACAAACGCACCGAAGGAAAUUAAUCUGGAUACUAUGAAUACCUUUAGAGUCCUUAUCUGCGACACAGAAGUCUUGAAGUUGACUAGGAUCAGAAGCCAUUGCCAGAGAGGAAGCCAUGGCGAGGAGAACAAGGAGAAACAUCUCGGUGGCCAUCUGUAAUCUCUUAGAUGGAUGGGAUUACUUGGGGCCUUGAUACAAUGGCCUGGAAGAGACGGGUAUAUAUAGAGAAGCAGGCUCUGAAACAUUCACGAUCAUUAGGUGAAGGAGAUGAAAAGUAUACCAUGUUAGGUUGCCUUCCUCUCGCGAUAAUAUUGUCUAUAGCCGUCUCCUCGUACGAGCUUCAUCUGAUGCAGGGUAACAAAUAGGUUUUUUGACGCUGUCUCAGUGAUUGCUUGAAUGCAUGCGUUCGCCGACAAAGAAAAAUAGUUCUUUAGUUUAAUGCAUCCAACCUAAUCCAUGACCACAUCGUAUACACAAUAAUGGAGCUUUUCAACCUAAUCCGAAAUCCACCGGGUGAGAUUUUGGUGACGACGUCAAGAUACCAAGCACGAUGAGAAGUUUGCAAACAUGUGGGAGAUCAGGUGAACAAGAGCAAGGUUGUGUCAAAAGAACAAGACAAUAGUGUGUCGUUGCCAAUUUGACUUCGUCUGAUGCCGUGUAUUAUGAUUCAAGGUAUUCUUUGUCAGUACAAAGUAUGUAUGUAUGUAUAGCAUGCACAUCAGUGGUGACACCUUCCUUCCUUAUUGCGAUACCCAAUAUGACUGACUUCAUAUAAUGUUAAUCUUAGUACUUGAGAGAUGAAAAGAAGGGAAAAGAAUAGAAGAGAAUAAUAUCAUAUUCAUAAAAAUUGAGAGAAUGGAAUUACAUAUAUUGGAUUUAGCACACAUCCCAACAAGAUUAACUUUUUGGGUUAAUUAGGUUACCGAUCUAUAUAAUUUUUACCCUGGCUAAGUUAAUUUAUCAUGAUCGAUUUCGACAAAUGAGUCAAAAAGAUUAAAGGAUACAGAUAUUAGUGGUAUUUUUUCACCUAAAUUAUUAGACCAACUUGAUUUAACUUGGAAAAAGACAAAAAAAAAAAGAUUUUGGAAACUGUUAUACUGCCUAAUUUUGAGUCAGUUCAAUCCUCUUGAAUCAGUUUCAAUUCUCUUGAUUGAAUUAUAGGUCAACUCUUUCUCUCUCUCUCUCUCUCAUUUGGGAAAGUGAGAUCAUUUGUAAUCAAGCAAAAUUUCUUGCUCUGAAUAAAUAAAAAAAACUAUAUAUAUCAAUAAAUCUAUACUAUUUUUUUAGUUUUUCAAUUGAACUAAAAUUCACUGUGUGAUUUUGUUAAACCAAAAAUACAUCUCUUAUGAUAGAAAUAGCAUUUGCUUCAUGUAAGGUCUUGAUUUCGUUAUUCUUCAAUUGAUGUGGGAUUUAUAUUUUGUAUCUUGUCUUAAAAUUCAUAUACUUGAUCUAAAAUUUAUGAUUUUAUUAUUAUCAUUAAUUUUCUUUAUCGAAAGAUUAGAGUACACGUUAAACUGCCUAACACGAAAUCAUAUGAUUUUGUGCAUUCAAAGUGGACCCAAAAGACAUCUCAGGAUAGAAAUAACAAUUGUUUGGAACGAAGCAAGAGACAUAUUCUAUCGCAAAAACAAUUGCAAAUAGUUAUCCACUGUUUGCUUAUUUAAAGCACAUAAUUUCAGCACGUCAUGUCAACUUGCAACAACGAAGCUUUCUAGUUGUUGUUGUCCAUCCAGAACUGAGCCUGAAGCCAGUCGAUGGUCUUCUUGUCCACCUGGAAAGCCUUGGCCAGAACAUCGUCAGAGAUGGGUGGCUUCGACCCGAACACAGCGUUAGCGAUGGUGAUCGUGCCGGGGUUUUGGCUACUAAGAGCACCGAUUGCGAUAGUGUUGCAGUUGCCGGGAUUGAACUGGAAGUGGAUGAGGCCCUCAGGGAACACAAACACAUCGCCCUUCUUCAGCAUCUUGGUGAAGAGACGGUUGUCGGUGUUGGAUGUGACGAAGCCGACCAAGAGCUGUCCUUCUAUGACGGUGAGGAUCUCGGUGGCACGGGGGUGAGUGUGGGGAGGGUUGAGGCCUUUGGGCCCGUAGUCGAUGCGAACCAUGGAGAUGCCGAGGGUGUUGAGUCCGAUGAGCUUGUUCACGUUGACGGCAGUGACCAUGGAGCCGAGCUUGUUUACCGUGUUGCCGGCUUUGUCGAGUCCCAUGAAGAAGAAGUCUUCGGCUGUCACGUGCUUGGGGUCUUUGCAGACGAAUCCAUUCACCAGCACUGCAGCAGCAACAAGAAAACUCGAUCAGUAAACAUGCAUUAAUCGAAAUCGUGGACCUGCAGGUACGGUGUUCGAUCCUUAAACUCGCCUUUAGAGUCCUUAUCGGCGACGCAGAAGUCUUGAAGAGGGCUAGGAUCAGAAGCCAUUGCGAGAGAGGAAGCCAUGGCAAGGAGAGCGAUGAGGAGGAUUUUGGCUGCCAUCCCUGUAAUCUUCAGGACGGAUGAAGCUACAAUUGGUGUUGUGAUACAAAUGCACGAAGGAGAUGGAUAUAUAGAGAGGGGGAGGGGGAGAGAGGCAGGGUUGAAACAUUCUUGAUCAUUUGGUAAGAGAGCUGAAUAGUAUGCCUUUUGCUUAUAAUAAUAAUAAUGUCUAUGGACUGUGCGUGCUUCUUAUCUUGUGCAGAGAAAGAGUCUACCAAGAGGAGCUUAGUUAUUCUCCACUUGGUUUUGGUCAACGACUAUAUCUUGUAUGUAGUAAAUGCCAUUCAAUCGACAGCGUUUUGAUGAUGGCAGGUCGCUACCAAAUGCCAAGCAAAUUCAUGGAACCAGUGGAGCAUAUGGAUCCACCAGAAGUGCUAGUGAACCAAUGAUCUCAGUUUGACUUCAUCUAACAUCAAGUACUAAUAAUGGAAGGCGUUUUCUGUCACCUUCGAACAUGACCAGGACAAUGCGUGCAGCGACUUCAUCUAACAUCGAAUUCUAUAGUGCAAGCGUUCCGUGUGCGUUGACUGGCAUUAUAUAGAUCGCGUAUACGAGUACUGACACCUUCGCUCUUCGUCGCAACAUCACAUUGGAAAUCGUGUUCAUCGUUAUGUGAUACGUGAUGCGGUGGGUAAAAGAAGGCACACAUGAACUGAAACCUUCGUUCGACAUGUUCUUACAAUCGAGAAUGAGUCUGACUCGAUUUUGUUGAUUAGCAUACACUAAAAUUAAUAUAAAUUCAGCAUACACAAACUCAAUAUAUGUAAUUAGGCUCACUUAGUUAUUAUCUAUGGGACUAAUCUAACAACCUUCUCUUCAUAUAUAUUAGAAUCGAUGCUAAUUUAACUUGUAAGUUUAAGUGUGUAGAUUAUGGGUCAAACCCAAUAUAUAUAACCCAACUUUUUAAUUUUUGUUAGGCUCAUCUUCCUCAUCUUUUCAAUCUUCAUUUCACAUUUCAACAUUUCAUAAUAUUUCAAUAUAUUUUAAAUAACUUUAAUUGAGUUUAUAAUGAGCUCAAUAAAAUAGUAAAUCCUAAUUAUUCAGAGUCAUCCGAGUUUAACACUAACAAAUAGAUUUGCUGCAAUGUGGCUUAGCAAUUAAUAAUGAUCUCAUCAGUGAUCUCGCUCUCAAUUGUUGACUCUUAACAUGAUAUUUAUUUUUAGUCGGAAAACAUGAGGAUUAUUCCGAUCACUACAGAGAAAACAAACUGUAAUAACAUGCAAACGGCUGACUUCGAUCGAUCGCCAAGUGUUUGCUUAUUGGAAUGUUAACAUGGAUGUGAAGAAGCUGCAGUGGUGGUGUUUCUUCUGUUGUUGUUGUCCAUCUAGAACUGAGCCUGAAGCCAGUCGAUGGUCUUCUUGUCCACCUGGAAAGCCUUGGCCAGAACAUCAUCGGAGAUGGGCGGCUUCGACCCGAACACAGCGUUGGCGAUUGUGAUGGUGCCGGGGUUUUGGCUACUGAGAGCACCGAUGGCGAUAGUUUUGGUGUGCCCAGGGUUGAACUGGAAGUGGAUGAGGCCUUGUGGGAACACAAACACAUCACCCUUCUUCAGCAUCUUGGUGAAGAGACGGUUGCCGUCGUCGGUGUUGGAUGUGACGAAGCCGACCAAGAGCUGUCCUUCUAUGACGGUGAGGAUCUCGGUGGCACGAGGGUGAGUGUGGGGAGCGUUGAGGCCUCUGGGUGCGUAGUCGAUGCGAACCAUGGAGAUGCCGAGGGUGUUGAGUCCGACGAGCUGGUUCACGUUGACGGCGGUGACAUUGGAGCCGACCUUGUUUACUGUGUCGCCAGCUUUGUCGAGUCCCCUGAAGAAGAAGUCUUCGGCUUUCACCACCUUGGGGUCCUUGCAGACGAACCCAUUCACCAGCACUGCAACAGGAGGAAGCAAACUCGAUCAGUAAAUAUGCAUCGGGAGAGCAAACGCACCGAAGGAGAUUAAUCUGGAUACUAUGAAAUACCUUUAGAGUCCUUAUCUGCGACACAGAAGUCUUGAAGAGGACUAGGAUCAGAAGCCAUUGCAAGAGAGGAAGCCAUGGCAAGGAGCGCAAGGAGAAGCAUUUUCGCUGCCAUCUGUGUAAUCUUUAGGAUGGAUGAAGCUGCAAUUGGUGUUGUGAUACCAAUGGCUUGGAGGAGAUGGGUAUAUAUAGAGAAUCAGGCAUUGACAUAUUCCUCAUCAUUUGGUGAGAGAGUUGAAAAGUAUGACAUGUUAGGUUGCCUUCUGCUUACAAUAAUGUUUGUAGACUUCCCCUUUUACGUAGUUGUUAUCAAGAUAUUGACGCAGUUUUGAGAAAAGGUCUAAGAGAAGCUUCCUCUUCACCGUCAGUUUCUUAUACGUAGUAAAUGCAUUCACGUUGUCGAACCAUGCAAUUGGCAGUGUAGCCAAUUCAACAGAUGGGAAACCAGUGGGUAUCUCAUUCUGACUUCAUCUAACAUCAGAUACUAUAAUGCAAGCCUUCUCUGUCACCUUCAAACAUGACCACGGCAACAGGUUGCGUGCUUGACCAACAUCAAAUACUAUGUUGCAAGCGUUAUAUGUGAAUGCAGUGACUAUCGUAUAUAUGGUGCAUGCUUGCACAAGUAGCGAACAACUUCCCACUUUAUUGCGACGCUAGUAUAUUAAUUGAUUAAGGUCUCUUUUAGCUUGUAUGUAUCUCUUAAGCUUUUAUAGUUUAUUCAUAUCUAAAAUAAUCUUUAUAUUUUUCAAAACAUAUAAUAUAAAUUUUUCUCAUCAAAUUUGAGUUAACAAAUGAUAGGUAACAUAUUGACUUAUAAUAAACCAUUAAUAUAAUGACAUAUAUAAUUUAAGGUUAAGGUCCAUUUUAAUAUCUACAGUUUUGACCAUAGAUCUCUUAAGCCUUUAUGGUUUAUUCAUGUCUAAAAUAACUUUUAUAUUUUCAAAAAUGUAGCAUAAAACAUAUCUCACCAAGUCUGAGUUAAUAAAUGUUGGAGUCUACUUACAUAGUGACUCAAAAUAAACUAUCAAUAUAAUAACAUGUAUAAUUUAAGUUUAAAAAACUAAGACUUCCAUCAGUGGUGGGAGGAGGUGUUAUCGUGGAAGCGACCACUAGCAGUAGCACCGAGUUGCUACUACUUAGCAGGGUGUCGUACCAAGCCUCUCCUGCAUUGACGAUGAGCUCAAGUGCUUCUAGAUGUCACUUGCCAGCUCUAGGGCACAUGUCACCACGGCAUUGCUUACCAUCGUGAACUGCACCCACUCCGAUUCUAACGAGUACCAUCAUACCUUGUAAGUCACCUCCCUUGCAAAACAUGACAUCAUGAUGAUUGAGAGCAGCAGAAGGAGUGGUUGAGUUGGUCCAUGUAUCCCUCCCACAUUCACUCGCUCUCCCCGACUAACUUAUCAAGGAAAGAGGAAGAGACAGAUGAAGGCAGAUAGGUA